Long non-coding RNA from Cyanistes caeruleus (blue tit), 1284 nucleotides. Ensembl annotates it as podoplanin. Lineage: Eukaryota; Metazoa; Chordata; Aves; Passeriformes; Paridae. The record is from Ensembl.
GAAAACAUAACGAGUCUUGCACAGGCUGCUGGAGGGGCUGCACUCCCAGAACUGCACAUGAAAAGGAAAAAUCCUCUCUCUGAAGGGUGCUAUCAGCUCCCCAAGGCCAGCGAGCCUGUGGGCAGAGGGAAACGGUCGAGCACAGCCAGGAUGUCACUUGAGGACACAAGAUGAGAGACACAGACACACAGGAAAAUUCAGGCAGUAUUUACUGCAGAAUUAAAUAGCUUGCCCUAAAAACUAUUUCAGUAUCCCUAAAUGCACAUUCAGUACCACACUUGCUUAGAUAAACAUGGGGGCUCACUUGGAAAUGAAAAACACAUCAGUUCACUGCUGGAAAUAACAAGAAAAGCGUCCUUAGUGUUGUUCUUUAAGGAUUUUUUUAAGACAGUUUGCAGAAGGGAGGGAACACCACGCUUUGCCUAAAUUCCUCUUCCCCCUUUGCUAAAUAAAAGUCUUCUGAAAGCCACAACAGGUCCUGUAACUUUAAACCUGAGCUGAGAUCAUAAUUUUGGUCCUGACCAAACAGCGUGGGGAGGGCGGGCCUGGCUGCUCAUUGAGGACCACUUUAGGCUGCUCCCAUCCCUUGGCUAAAGAAAAGAAGUCAGGCUCCACUCAGUUUUCAUUAACUGUUCAGUUAUCAUCUGAGAAAACCUCCCCUCUUUACGCUGCAGCAGCUAAAGGAAUAUUUGGAAUACCAAAGUAUUUUUUUUUGCAGUGAUUUCUUUUUAUCAUCUCAAUUCUCCACUGCCUCUGAAAGAAAUCAUCCGAAUUUGGAUCCGUCUGGCUUCAGGAUUGGAAAGCGACUCUCUAAGCAGAUCAAAUAUGUUUAUUAAAGUUCCAUUCUUCAUCUUGGUCCUGGGGAGCGUGCCUUUUGUAGCACUUGCUCAAGAAGCAAGCUCCGUUCUAGAAGGAGAAGAAAGUGCAACAAUUGAUUUCAGAGACAGAAAUGACACAGAUUAUGAAGAAUUACCAACAAUAUUUGGAGAACUGAAGACUACUGAAAGUACCUUUGUCCUGGAUGGAGAAAGUGAAAAUGCUACUGCUUAUGAAGUUAACACAGAAAGUCUUGAUGGUAAAAAUCCCUUUCAUUUCUAUUUUUUCAUAUCUAAGUUCUACUGCCAUCUACUAAACAAUAUCUGGAAAUCACAAAUAUUCUCCCAAACUUUAUUUGCUCACUUUCUACCAAAAGAACAACCACAAACCAUUGUUACAAAGUCAAUAAAGUUUCUCCAUAGCCUUUCAAAUUGGAAGGCAACACUCAGGACAAAGCAGAGUGAGUAA